CCACUUAUAAUGGUAACCAGCCUCAAAUAUCCUCUACAGGUUGUGCCCUCCCUGGAGGGUACAAUCCUCGGCACAGAGAGCCAUCUUACUGUAAUGCAUACCGUGCAAGCUGGUGGGAGCUCAUGGUACUUGCUUCUCAUGCGCACCCAUCUGUUGCUACCAUGGCUAGGACUCUUCUAUCUGGGGCCAAUAUAGUUUAUAAUGGUAAUCCAUUAAAUGAUCUAUCUCUUAGUGC
This 235-nucleotide unclassified non-coding RNA is filed under the name Hevea brasiliensis (rubber tree). Lineage: Eukaryota; Viridiplantae; Streptophyta; Magnoliopsida; Malpighiales; Euphorbiaceae. The record is from RNAcentral.